CCUAGUUUUGCAGCAGCUGAAAAUCUAAGUGAUUUCUGUAAUAAUAAUAAUAAUGUGAUAAUCUGUAUUUCAAAGGGAUCAAAGGGUUCUCUUCCCUCACUCCCCGGGGGUUGCUUUCACUUAGGAGAAGCUAGUCUUUCUGAGUGCUCUAGUGCCUCUGUAUCUUUGUUUAAGGCAUUAUCUGCUACAAAUGUAUGGAAAGGAGUGGAAGAAAGGGAAGACAUGGACAUGAAGAAACACUGGCUUAGACUGAAGUUCCUGAAGUCAAAGUAGUAAUGGCAAGCAUUUUAUAGGUCCUGAGAGUAUCUGCCCCAUAAAACCUCUUCUUCCAGCUCAAACCAAACACCAGAAAAUCACAUCUGAGCAAGUGGGCAAUAGUUUUGCCCUUCUUAGCAAAAUCACAGCUUCUCAAGAAGGAAAGUUUCACCUAGGAUCUGCUUGCUGAGGAAAAGGAUCCAAGCCUUGUGUGAAUGUGUCUGAAGGAAUUGCUCCUGGCCUCAUUUGGUGCCAGUGGAUCCACAAAUGUUUACAGCAGAAGAUUCCUGUGUGCCCAUUCC
This 557-nucleotide long non-coding RNA is filed under the name Cyanistes caeruleus (blue tit). RNAcentral's name for it is "lncRNA (ENSCCEG00000015248.1)". Lineage: Eukaryota; Metazoa; Chordata; Aves; Passeriformes; Paridae. The record is from RNAcentral.